CCAGGAUUGCACUCAGCAGAAUGAGCAGUAGCAAUAUGACUGAUUUUCUACCUGUUCAGUAGGGCUGAAGAUUAUUCCCCUACAUUCCAGAAUCUUCUAGAAUUCCUUGUGUGCUUGUUCAUCAGCCACAGCUGAUCUUCAGGAAGCCAGCAAAAGUUCCAUACCGGUAUCAAAGAUGGACCACUGUACUAUUUGGUCAAACUUUGCAGGUCCUCAGGUAACAGAGAUGAAGCUGCUGCCUUGAAAACCACUGCCAGGGGUCCCGCAGCCUGCUGGUAGGAUAGAAAACGCACAAAAAGUCACCAAGAAGAAGUUGCUCUCCCUUCAAUGUCCAUGUCAAUGAGAGGAGACCAGGGGGUGACAUGAUAGCAGUAUUCCACUAUUUGAGAGUCUGCCGCAAAGAAGAGGGAGUCAACCUUAAUUUUACAUAGCUUCUUUUCAAAAAACACCACGCUACUGACCAGAGCAUAUAAAACAUUUGUUAGGCCAAUUCUUGAUUACUGCUCUCCUGUCUGGAACCCAUACCAUAUAUCUGACAUCAACACAGUUGAGCGUGUCCAAAGGUAUUUUACGAGAAGAGUUCUCCACUCCUCCGAAACCUUGAUAUCCUGGGUCUAGAAAACUUGGAACUUCGUCGCCUUUGGCAGGACCUGGGUUUAGCUCAUAAAAUCAUCCGUUGUAAUGUCCUUCCUAUCAAUGACUUUUUUAGUUUCAAUAACAAUAUCACAAGAGCUACCAAGAGAUUCAAACUCAAUGUCAACUGCUCCAGUUUAGAUUGCAGAAAACAUGAUUUCUGUAACAGAAUUGUAUAUGCUUGGAAUGCAUUACCUGACUCUGUGGUUUCUUCUCAUAACCCCAAAGGCUUUACUCAAAAACUGUCCAUGGUUGACCUCACCACUUUCCUAAGAGGACUCUAAGGGGCGUGCAUAAGAGCACAAACAUGCCUACCGUUCCUGUCCUAUUGUUUCUUCCCCUAUGUAUAUAUAUGUUUAUAGUACCUCGUUUCUCCUCAUAUAUACGUUCAUAUAUUAUAUAACCCUUUAUGCAA
This is a long non-coding RNA of Ahaetulla prasina, 1048 nucleotides long. RefSeq lists it as uncharacterized. The record is from RefSeq and is a predicted model, not a curated record. NCBI's taxonomy places the organism in Eukaryota, Metazoa, Chordata, Lepidosauria, Squamata, Colubridae. The transcript is spliced from 3 exons.